CAUGCCGAACACAGAAGUUAAGCUCUUGAACGCCGAUGGUAGUUGGGACUUUGUCCCUGUGAGAGUAGGACGUUGCCAGGC
RNAcentral lists this ribosomal RNA (81 nucleotides) under Priestia filamentosa. The record is from RNAcentral. Lineage: Bacteria; Bacillati; Bacillota; Bacilli; Caryophanales; Bacillaceae.